Molecule: transfer RNA, 64 nt
Filed under: Hyalessa maculaticollis
Lineage: Eukaryota; Metazoa; Arthropoda; Insecta; Hemiptera; Cicadidae
Description: tRNA-Leu
Source: RNAcentral
UAUUAUCUGUAAUUAUAAUUACAUACUUAAGUUCUAAACUUAAUACACUUAUUGUUAAGAUAAC